UACGUAGGGCGCAAGCGUUGUCCGGAAUUAUUGGGCGUAAAGAGCUCGUAGGUGGCUUGUCACGUCGGGUGUGAAAGCUUGGGGCUUAACUCCAGGUCUGCAUUCGAUACGGGCUGGCUAGAGGUAGGUAGGGGAGAACGGAAUUCCUGGUGUAGCGGUGAAAUGCGCAGAUAUCAGGAGGAACACCGGUGGCGAAGGCGGUUCUCUGGGCAGUGACUGACGCUGAGACGCGAAAGCGUGGGGAGCAAACAGG
This 253-nucleotide ribosomal RNA is filed under the name uncultured bacterium. RNAcentral's name for it is "partial 16S ribosomal RNA". It matches the Rfam family "Bacterial small subunit ribosomal RNA", at positions 524 to 776 of the family's 1533-position model. The record is from RNAcentral.